UCCAUCUAAGGCUUUGACUACACCACAGUUGUUAUCUGGGAGUUGAAGCCUGGAUCUUUACAGUUCUUAUGCUUCUUUACAGUUAUCCUCUUGUCACUUGCCUCCUGUGACCUUCACCUCAGCCAAGAUUGUCACCUUCACUUGCAGAGGGCCUGCCCUGGGCAACUUUGUCCUCUCUCCAGGCUCACAAGUAUCAGUUGAAGGCUGUCUGUCUCCAGCCUUUCUUUUCUUUCAGCAUCCCAAGCUCCUGGGUCACAACCUCCUUGGAGAUGCCCAGGCUUGAGGAAGGAGCCACAAAACUCUUGGGGACCCUGGAGAAGAUAGGAGGCCCCAGAAGAGCAGAGCCACAUGGAAGAGUCAGAGCUUUGAUGGAGCUGGUCAGCCUGGGACUGGUACUCACCUUGCAGGCACACUGGGCAACCUACCUGGCUGUCCUGAGCUCCCCUCUUUAUCCUAUGUAA
RNAcentral lists this long non-coding RNA (461 nucleotides) under Chinchilla lanigera (long-tailed chinchilla). RNAcentral's name for it is "lncRNA (ENSCLAG00000026408.1)". Lineage: Eukaryota; Metazoa; Chordata; Mammalia; Rodentia; Chinchillidae. The record is from RNAcentral.